ACGCCGGCGUUGCCAAUCAUGAUGAUGACGGGCUUGGCGCGCCUGUCGCAUUCAGUCUGGCGCAUGUCGUCCCACUUGCGCGCGAGCGCCUCCAGGUCGUCGCUCUCGCACUUGGGCGUGCGCUGGUCGUCUCUCUUGGGUCCCGCAUGACGCGGCGCGGCGGCGGCGCGGGUCUGGCCCUUGUUGUCGGCGACGGCGGGCGUGCUCGGCUUGGCUCCCAUUUGUACUCGUCCUUUUGCUUCCUUUUUUUUCUCGGUGGCAGUGUGUAUGUAUGCGCG
This 278-nucleotide long non-coding RNA is filed under the name Pandoravirus quercus. RNAcentral describes it as "hypothetical ncRNA". The record is from RNAcentral.